RNAcentral lists this long non-coding RNA (473 nucleotides) under Olea europaea subsp. europaea. Lineage: Eukaryota; Viridiplantae; Streptophyta; Magnoliopsida; Lamiales; Oleaceae. The record is from RNAcentral.
GCCCAACUUGCUAUGCUGUCUGCUGAUGUCGUCAGAAUUUUUGCAGUCGGACUGACCUGUCACCCCUCACCGCCUCACCGGUAAGCGGUAGUUUUAAUUUUAGGAAUUAAUUCUACCUUCUGCCUUGUGGUGGAGAAGACGAUUAAAACGGAAUAAAAAGAAUAUAUGGAGAAAGGCGGUUCGUUUUCCUGUGCCAAUUUUUUUCCCUUAACAGACGAGGCCUCCUACAAUUUGAGGCCAAAGGCAGUGGCCUCACUUACCUUGGGCCAGGGCCGACACUGACUGUGGGUAGUUUACGUUGUAGGUGGUUUGUUGGUAGUUGUUUGGAGGUGGUUUUCUGAUCCAAUGUGUUGCUUGGCCAAAGUGUUAGAGUGGUUGUUGAUGUUUUUCAUGGUGAGGUGGUGGUAUAUUGGCAACGAUGGUGCAAGUGGUAGUGCUGGUCGUGGUGGUAAGGUGGUGUUCGAUUAGUGACA